CAUCCAAGCAAGAGCAUUCAAAAUGGUUCCCAUGGAGUACCAUGGAUGUGAGGGGUGCUAAUACAUUCCCCUUGCAUAAUCGACUUCCUUACACGUUUCUCUAUUUUCCCUUGGGUUUUAUCGAUGUUUCCCUUCCCCCUCUUUUGGGAUAAGUAAAGUUUGAUGGAGACUCUGUUAUACAUUCGAGCAUGCGAUGCAUUUGGUGGGCAUAUUUCAGCUAGCUUCAGGUAUGGCCAUGCGAAUACAUCCACAUAUUCUUGUAACAA
Molecule: long non-coding RNA, 266 nt
Filed under: Lathyrus oleraceus (garden pea)
Lineage: Eukaryota; Viridiplantae; Streptophyta; Magnoliopsida; Fabales; Fabaceae
Description: Pisum sativum (pea) long non-coding RNA (PSAT_LNC026531)
Source: RNAcentral